This 497-nucleotide ribosomal RNA is filed under the name uncultured bacterium. RNAcentral's name for it is "partial 16S ribosomal RNA". It matches the Rfam family "Bacterial small subunit ribosomal RNA", at positions 28 to 507 of the family's 1533-position model. The record is from RNAcentral.
GAUGAACGCUGGCGGCGUGCCUAAUACAUGCAAGUCGAGCGAACGGACGAUAGGCUUUCUUCUCUGAUGUUAGCGGCGGACGGGUGAGUAACACGUGGAUAACCUACCUAUAAGACUGGGAUAACUUCGGGAAACCGUAGCUAAUACCAGAUAAUAUUUUGAACCGCAUGGUUCAAAAGUGAAAGACGGUCUUGCUGUCACUUAUAGAUGGAUCCGCGCUGCAUUAGCUAGUUGGUAAGGUAACGGCUUACCAAGGCAACGAUGCAUAGCCGACCUGAGAGGGUGAUCAGCCACACUGGAACUGAGACACGGUCCAGACUCCUACGGGAGGCAGCAGUAGGGAAUAUUGCGCAAUGGGCGAAAGCCUGACGCAGCCAUGCCGCGUGAGUGAUGAAGGUCUUCGGAUCGUAAAACUCUGUUAUUAGGGAAGAAAAUAUGUGUAAGUAAAUGUGCACAUCUUGACGGUACCUAAUCAGAAAGCAACGGCUAACUACGUG